AAGCAGGCAUGUAGUUUUUCUUAUGUCAUUUAUUUAUUUUUGUUGCACGCCUCUUCUGCUUUUAGAUCAAUUUAAAUCUUUAGGGUGGGUUUACAGUUUUCUAAGUCAGGCCCAAGAGAGCUCAACCAAUAUGAAAUAAAAAUGUAUUAGGUUUUUGUGCAUUAACCAAUUCAUAACAUAAUUUUGUCAUGGUGUACCAUUAGUUUCCUAUAAAUUAAUUUGUCCAGCUCUGUUAUUUGAUCAAGUUAUGCAUGCUCUCAUUUCACAUUUUUGUAGUAGCAAAUAGGGGGAAAACACGGCCCAAGUUAAGAUUUAAUGGGCUUUUGAAAUUGCAUUUUCUCAUCAACUCACCAAAUAUGCCUUCACUAGUUUUUCAGGGUCUUCAUUCAAGUAGGUGCACAGAGACUUGAUCACACAGGCUAUUCUGGUAUGUAUAGUGUCAUCCUGUGGGGUGGGGACAAGAUUAACUCAAACUUCAGUGCUUAAGAGUACUUACGGUUUUACAAAAAAAAAAAAAAAAAAAAAAAAAAAGAUU
Long non-coding RNA from Cyprinus carpio (common carp), 535 nucleotides. RefSeq lists it as uncharacterized. Lineage: Eukaryota; Metazoa; Chordata; Actinopteri; Cypriniformes; Cyprinidae. The record is from RefSeq and is a predicted model, not a curated record. The transcript has 2 exons.